Molecule: ribosomal RNA, 406 nt
Filed under: uncultured bacterium
Lineage: Bacteria
Description: partial 16S ribosomal RNA
Rfam family: Bacterial small subunit ribosomal RNA
Source: RNAcentral
AUUGAACGCUGGCGGCAGGCCUAACACAUGCAAGUCGAGCGAACGGCGGACGGGUGAGUAAUGUAUGGGGAUCUGCCUGAUGGAGGGAGAUAACUACUGGAAACGGUAGCUAAUACCGCAUACCAUGAGAUGGACCCAUAUGGGAUUAGGUAGUAGGUGGGGUAACGGCUUACCAAGGCGACGAUCCCUAGCUGGCCUGAGAGGAUGAUCAGCCACACUGGGACUGAGACACGGCCCAGACUCCUACGGGAGGCAGCAGUGGGGAAUAUUGCACAAUGGGCGCAAGCCUGAUGCAGCAAUGCCGCGUGUAUGAAGAAGGCCUUCGGGUUGUAAAGUACUGUCAGUAGGGAGGCGUUACCUACAGAAGAAGCAACGGCUAACUCCGUGCCAGCAGCCGCGGUAAUUC